Molecule: unclassified non-coding RNA, 386 nt
Filed under: soil metagenome
Description: partial contains 5.8S ribosomal RNA, internal transcribed spacer 2, and large subunit ribosomal RNA
Rfam family: 5.8S ribosomal RNA (bases 1-121)
Source: RNAcentral
GAUGAAGAACGCAGUGAAAUGCGAUAAGUAAUGUGAAUUGCAGAUUUUCAGUGAAUCAUCGAAUCUUUGAACGCACCUUGCGCUCCUUGGUAUUCCGAGGAGCAUGCCUGUUUGAGUGUCAUUAAAUUCUCAACUCCACCGAUUUCGUGUCGUGUGCGAGCUUGGAUUUGGAGUGUGCUGGUCCUUCCCUGGGUCGGCUCCUCUUGAAAUGCAUUAGCGGGAAAACCCCUUCGUUGGCCCCUCGGCGUGAUAAUUUAAAGUUGCGUCGUGAUCGGUCUUUGAAGUCCGCUUCCAAUCGUCUUCGGACAAAUGUCAUUUUUGACCAAUUUUGACCUCAAAUCAGGUAGGACUACCCGCUGAACUUAAGCAUAUCAAUAAGCGGAGGA